RNAcentral lists this unclassified non-coding RNA (836 nucleotides) under Melitaea cinxia (Glanville fritillary). Its description in RNAcentral is "misc RNA ENSMCXG00005012645.1". The record is from RNAcentral. Lineage: Eukaryota; Metazoa; Arthropoda; Insecta; Lepidoptera; Nymphalidae.
GUUUGCAGUUUCAAAACCGGUGAGUAAAUGUUUUCUAAAUUUUCUUUUUGCUGGAAUCCUCUUACUACCAACCUUGCUUUACAUAUUUCCUUGUCUCCAAUAUCUUUUCUAGUAAAUAUCCACUUGGUAUCUAUUAACUUAUUAUUCUCUGGUUUAGGUACUAUCUUCCAUGUUUCACUCUCUUGUAGGACUUUCAUUUCUUCUGAUAUAGCAUUUUCCCAUUGCUGUUUAUCUUCUCUGUUCUGUAUCUCUUCAAAAUGUUGUGGUGCGUCAGAAUGAAUCGUAAGUAAAGCAUAUAAUAUAUCUCCUGUAUCUUCAUUAUCAUCUAACUGGUAAUCUGUUUGCCAUUUAGGUUUUCUAAUAUUUCUUCUAGGUCUCUCCCUGCUUGCUAGCUCCUUUUCAACCUGUCGGUCUUCUAAUUUUUGCACUGCAUCUUCAUAAACUUCUGUGUUUUCUUCACUGCAUGACUCUUUAUUCUGUUUCUCUUGUGUGUUAUCUUCUGUAUUCUUCUCUGUUAUUCUCUUACCUUCUUCUUUUUUCUUUUCAGGUGAUUUUUUUCUUUCUUCCGGUGCUUCAUCUUUUUCUUCUACAUCUUGGUAAGGUAAGUAAAUUCUUGGUACAUAUUUUUCUUUAGGUUUUUCAUCGAAUAUCACAUUUCUUGCAUGUACUUCCUUUUGUGUUUCAGGAUCGAAGAGUAUGUAACCUGCUGGAGCAUAUCCGAUCAUAAUCAUCUUACGUCCAGUGUUAUCAAGCUUCUGUCUGCACUCUUUUGAUUGCCGGAAACUGCAGAGAACCACGCUCUGCUACCACUGUUGGUUAUUUUGACAGGAACGAGG